RNAcentral lists this transfer RNA (72 nucleotides) under Marmota marmota marmota (Alpine marmot). It matches the Rfam family "tRNA". From Rfam's summary of the family: Transfer RNA (tRNA) molecules are approximately 80 nucleotides in length. Their secondary structure includes four short double-helical elements and three loops (D, anti-codon, and T loops). RNAcentral also lists the same sequence under 4 other names. Lineage: Eukaryota; Metazoa; Chordata; Mammalia; Rodentia; Sciuridae. The record is from Rfam by way of RNAcentral.
GGGGAUGUGGCUUUGUGGUAGAGUGCUUGCUUAGCAUGUGUGAGGCCCUAGGUUCCAUCCCUGGCACUGCCA